Erigeron canadensis is the source of this 1418-nucleotide long non-coding RNA. RefSeq lists it as uncharacterized. The transcript is spliced from 8 exons. The record is from RefSeq and is a predicted model, not a curated record. Lineage: Eukaryota; Viridiplantae; Streptophyta; Magnoliopsida; Asterales; Asteraceae.
ACCGGAAUUUAUUUAGUGUAAGUGAACAACCGGGAUUUAUUUCCCAAAUAUUUUAAUUUGUUCCCUCGCGAUAUCCCUCCCGCGUCAUUCCCCAAAAUAUUUGUAUUUCAAUAUCUAUUACCUUUUCCCCAUCUAUUCCCCUUUCCCCCUUGCGCACAGUUGGUUCCUAAUCCCCUACCCCCCUUGAUAAUUUGAUCUUCAGAUGUUCUUACAGAAGAAACACUAGCAGUAUUUCAUUCUCAAGCAAUUUUAUACUCGGAGUUAUUUGGCUUGGUAUUUUCUUUGAGAGUUUGAGUAGAUGAAAAGGUAUUAAGCGGUUAUUAUCCGGAUUGACAGCCCUGGAGGUGCCAACUUGCUUCUGGGUCUCUGACUUAGAUGGUAAAGGAAAUGAAGCUUUGUCACAAAGAAAACACGGAUGAAAUAAUGAUUUCUAUUAAAGCCAGCAGACUUCAUCAUGAAACAUGUGUUUCAAAGCCAUCUCUUGAAUGCACCGUGAUUGGUUCUUUAUGAGCUUAUGUGAUAAUUGGAAUUACCUAAUUAGUAGCAGAAGCACUCAUAAGGUGAACAAGUGAAAGCUGCUAAAUUCCAGGUUUGUGAUGUUUGUUAUAAUAAUUUUUAUUAUAGUUUUUAUUUAUCCACAUUGGUAAUUUCUCAUAGUUAUUUCCAAAAUCUACUUUAUCAUUAUAUACAAGGAUUCUUCAUGAUUUUUUUUUACAGUUAUUACUAUCAAUAAGGGUAGUGAAUGAUAAUAAGGCUUCUAAAGUAUAUAAUAACUACCGUGGUGAUCAGUCUGCAUAAGGUAACAAUGGUAUAUGAAGGUUUUAUUGAGCAUCAUAAGGUAUUAUUGAGAAUGGCAUGGAAUCAUCAGAUGGCACAAAAAACCAUUUCCGAGGUUACAACUGAAAAAAGGUUUUGAAUAAAAUAUUGAAUGAGGGAGAAGGCUAUGACCGCCCAAACGAUGAUGCGAGUCGUUCAAGUAUGGGUUUUUAUGACAGAAAAAGCCGUUGAGGGACUAUGAAGAAAGCUAAAGGAUGUGACUGCUGCAACUAAGCAUUGGGAUUCAGUGAAGUCCUAUUAUCACAAGGCUACUAUUUUACCUCGAAGGCAUGAAAUUCACUGAAAGUUGGAGCUGCACCCAUUCUUGUUAAGGUAGAACAGAUAUUAAGUCGAGGUAGCAAGAUGGGUGGGUCGGCUGAUGGGUCAAAACAAGUUUGGAUUACAGCAGGCACAUCAUUUAACAUGUCAGGAAAGCAAGAGGGUUCCCCGUUGUGUGGACAAGUUGAUCGAACAACAUCAUAUGCCAACACGACAUAGGUGAUGAUUAAGACUAGAAGUGUUGUAGACAUGCCAUUUUGUGUAUAUGUAUAUUGAAAACGCGAACGUUUUAUACUUAUUUUGUUUUUAUUCUCCGUUCCAAA